Molecule: small RNA, 107 nt
Filed under: Escherichia coli
Lineage: Bacteria; Pseudomonadati; Pseudomonadota; Gammaproteobacteria; Enterobacterales; Enterobacteriaceae
Description: partial RtT sRNA
Rfam family: RtT RNA
About the family: This family represents a bacterial cis-regulatory element known as RtT RNA. The exact function of RtT is unknown although it is thought that it may be involved in changing the cellular response in relation to amino acid starvation.
Source: RNAcentral
GAAGCUUCGACCAAGGUUCGACUUGAGCGCCAGCGAGAGAGCGUUGCCGCAGGCAACGACCCGAAGGGCGAAGCGCGCAGCGCUGAGUAAUCCUUCCCCCACCACCA